GUGGGCAAUCUGCCCUUCACUCUGGGACAAGCCCUGGAAACGGGGUCUAAUACCGGAUACGAGCCUCCAAGGCAUCUUGGAGGUUGGAAAGCUCCGGCGGUGAAGGAUGAGCCCGCGGCCUAUCAGCUUGUUGGUGAGGUAAUGGCUCACCAAGGCGACGACGGGUAGCCGGCCUGAGAGGGCGACCGGCCACACUGGGACUGAGACACGGCCCAGACUCCUACGGGAGGCAGCAGUGGGGAAUAUUGCACAAUGGGCGAAAGCCUGAUGCAGCGACGCCGCGUGAGGGAUGACGGCCUUCGGGUUGUAAACCUCUUUCAGCAGGGAAGAAGCGCAAGUGACGGUACCUGCAGAAGAAGCGCCGGCUAACUACGUGCCAGCAGCCGCGGUAAUACGUAGGGCGCAAGCGUUGUCCGGAAUUAUUGGGCGUAAAGAGCUCGUAGGCGGCUUGUCACGUCGAUUGUGAAAGCCCGAGGCUUAACCUCGGGUCUGCAGUCGAUACGGGCUAGCUAGAGUGUGGUAGGGGAGAUCGGAAUUCCUGGUGUAGCGGUGAAAUGCGCAGAUAUCAGGAGGAACACCGGUGGCGAAGGCGGAUCUCUGGGCCAUUACUGACGCUGAGGAGCGAAAGCGUGGGGAGCGAACAGGAUUAGAUACCCUGGUAGUCCACGCCGUAAACGGUGGGAACUAGGUGUUGGCGACAUUCCACGUCGUCGGUGCCGCAGCUAACGCAUUAAGUUCCCCGCCUGGGGAGUACG
RNAcentral lists this ribosomal RNA (755 nucleotides) under Actinomycetales bacterium TLI290. Its description in RNAcentral is "bacterial SSU rRNA". It matches the Rfam family "Bacterial small subunit ribosomal RNA", at positions 117 to 884 of the family's 1533-position model. Lineage: Bacteria; Bacillati; Actinomycetota; Actinomycetes; Actinomycetales. The record is from RNAcentral.